MicroRNA precursor from Gallus gallus (chicken), 89 nucleotides. Lineage: Eukaryota; Metazoa; Chordata; Aves; Galliformes; Phasianidae. The record is from Ensembl.
AGCUUGCCGCAGGAUUCAGAGGCUGUAGGUCCCGUGCUUUAAUUAAAAGAACGAAGCUCGUGACUUCAGCUCCAGCAUCCGUGGCAGCU